RNAcentral lists this ribosomal RNA (437 nucleotides) under uncultured bacterium. Its description in RNAcentral is "bacterial SSU rRNA". It matches the Rfam family "Bacterial small subunit ribosomal RNA", at positions 28 to 463 of the family's 1533-position model. The record is from RNAcentral.
GAUGAACGCUGGCGGCGUGCUUAACACAUGCAAGUCGAACGGGAUCCAUCAAGCUUGCUUGGUGGUGAGAGUGGCGAACGGGUGAGUAAUGCGUGACCGACCUGCCCCAUACACCGGAAUAGCUCCUGGAAACGGGUGGUAAUGCCGGAUGCUCCGGCCUGCCGCAUGGUGGGCUGGGAAAGAUUGUAUCGGUAUGGGAUGGGGUCGCGUCCUAUCAGGUAGUCGGCGGGGUAACGGCCCACCGAGCCUACGACGGGUAGCCGGCCUGAGAGGGCGACCGGCCACAUUGGGACUGAGAUACGGCCCAGACUCCUACGGGAGGCAGCAGUGGGGAAUAUUGCACAAUGGGCGCAAGCCUGAUGCAGCGACGCCGCGUGCGGGAUGACGGCCUUCGGGUUGUAAACCGCUUUUGAUCGGGAGCAAGCCUUCGGGUGAGU